Molecule: long non-coding RNA, 646 nt
Filed under: Homo sapiens (human)
Lineage: Eukaryota; Metazoa; Chordata; Mammalia; Primates; Hominidae
Description: HSALNT0269698
Source: RNAcentral
UCCCCAUCAGGCUCAGACACAGAAGGCCAGCUGCCUGGAGCUCUCUGCCACACAAACCCUCCCCUCAGAAGGGACACACCCACCUAUCCGUCUCUUGGGCCAGGCCUCCUUCACUUCUUCCUCCCCACCUCCUCCUCCCUACCUUCCUGGACCCAGGCCUCUCCAUUCACCCCUGGGGCAAGCAAAGCCCCAGGCCUCCUCACCUCCAAGUCUUGCCUCUCCCUGGAGAGGGACAAGACCUCUCACUUCCCAUCUGAUUCCGCCUCAUUCUAAGGAACCCAUGUUUCUCCAGCCAACAAAAAGCAGAAGCUUUGGAGUAGCACAGGCCUCGGAUGGAAUCCUGCCUCUGAGAUGGGCUUGUUGUAAGCAGCAAGCUGCCCUGGAGUGGAUUCUACAGCCACAGGGAAAUGGAUUCUGUCAACAGCUUGAGGGCGCUUGGGAGCAAAGUCUUCCCUCCAGAUGAGAAGGCAGCUCUACUGACACUUUGUGAGACCCUAGAGGAAAACCCAGAUAAGCUGUGCCCAGACUUCUUACCUAAGAACUGGGAAAGAAUAAACAACUAUUGUGUUAAGCCACUAAUUUUGUGCUAAUUUGUUACACUGCAAUAGAAAACUAAUGUAAUGAGUCUAUUAAAAUCUCUUUAAAA